UAGAUUCACGCACAAACUCG
RNAcentral lists this small nuclear RNA (20 nucleotides) under Arabidopsis thaliana (thale cress). Its description in RNAcentral is "snRNA_01756". The record is from RNAcentral. Lineage: Eukaryota; Viridiplantae; Streptophyta; Magnoliopsida; Brassicales; Brassicaceae.